Molecule: long non-coding RNA, 335 nt
Filed under: Bos taurus (domestic cattle)
Lineage: Eukaryota; Metazoa; Chordata; Mammalia; Artiodactyla; Bovidae
Description: long non-coding RNA NONBTAT014956
Source: RNAcentral
CUGGGAGUCCAGAUUUUCAAGGACAUAGGAAUAUCCCACAAUUAUUUGUUUUCUUCAACUGCCUUACAAAUGCAGCAGUCUCAGAAUAACAGCACUAAUAAACCACCACCGUUAUGAUAGCUGGAACAAUUAAAAAUGUUUUUCAUUUGUUCUCCUCAAUCUCCUAGUUUUUAAAGUUGUACUACUAGUGAUUUCAACUCCUAAGGAUAAAACAUUAUUUUAUUAUAGUUAGUUUCUUUAUUGUAAUUAUUUAUAAACUUCUUUGUUCCUUAUGUAUAAAUGUAGUCAUAGUCAUGUUCCCCUAAAUUUUCUGUGGUAAAUUUUCCAUUACUUCC